AACGCGAAGAACCUUACCAAGGCUUGACAUGACCAGGAAUGUCGUAGAAAUACGGCAGCCCUUCGGGGCCUGGCCACAGGUGCUGCAUGGCUGUCGUCAGCUCGUGUCGUGAGAUGUUGGGUUAAGUCCCGCAACGGGCGCAACCCCUGUCCCAUGUUGCCAGCGAGUAAUGUCGGGGACUCAUGGGAGACUGCCGGUGAUAAGCCGGAGGAAGGUGGGGAUGACGUCAAGUCCUCAUGGCCCUUACAGGCUGGGCUACACACGUGCUACAAUGGCGGUGACAACGGGAUGCGAAGGGGCGACCCUUAGCAAAUCUCGAAAAGCCGUCUCAGUUCGGAUUGCACUCUGCAACUCGAGUGCAUGAAGUUGGAAUCGCUAGUAAUCGCGGAUCAGCACGCCGCGGUGAAUACGUUCCCGGGUCUUGUACACACGC
This 433-nucleotide ribosomal RNA is filed under the name uncultured bacterium. RNAcentral describes it as "bacterial SSU rRNA". It matches the Rfam family "Bacterial small subunit ribosomal RNA", at positions 958 to 1393 of the family's 1533-position model. The record is from RNAcentral.